Molecule: long non-coding RNA, 703 nt
Filed under: Populus tremula
Lineage: Eukaryota; Viridiplantae; Streptophyta; Magnoliopsida; Malpighiales; Salicaceae
Description: long non-coding RNA (PTRE_LNC001549)
Source: RNAcentral
CUUAGUAAUCACAACAAACCCAUUAUUUCAUUUUCUCUUUAAUCUUCCCCACUCUUCAUCCUAAAAAUCCUUGUUUUGCUAACGUGCGCUGAUUUUCACCACGAAAGCCCUUAAUCCACACCCACACAAAUGAAAAUCAGAUCGCCAUUAUCACCACAAGAUCUGACCCCCCUCCAAACAACAGCUCAACAAACUCUCCCUGCUCCACCAGCACAUCUAUCCACUAACCCACAGCGUGUACCACCACCACCCGGCAUGCAUCUCUCUCCCCAUUUCAUGCCGAGAAGAUCUUAAGAUUUGAGGAGGAAGAAAAGGCAAAAACAGUUUUCAGAUUUUAAAUUCCUUUGCUUUUUUUUACAACAAAUAUGGCUUUAUAGAGUGAAGAGUUUAGGUUUUCUGUUUUCAUGUUGCAAAUGGGUUCACAGUAAAAGGCUAAAACGAUGACGUUUUACUUGUGUGUGUGUGUGUGUAAAUAGCCGAGUCUCAUCUGGGUUUACCCGGGUCUUAUGGGCCCCGGGUCAACCCUUCGGAUCGAUGGGGUUUUACUAGCCAAAUUCCUGGCAGGUUUUUUUAAAACCCGGUCCGGUUCUAGUCCCGGGUCAACCCGUCAAGCCAAGAUGGGUUUUAAAACUAUGCCUAAAAGGAUCAUAGCUUCAUUGUUGACCAAGACAUAAAGAUGUAAUAUGAUCUGCUUUUCACAGUC